This 253-nucleotide ribosomal RNA is filed under the name uncultured bacterium. RNAcentral describes it as "partial 16S ribosomal RNA". It matches the Rfam family "Bacterial small subunit ribosomal RNA", at positions 524 to 776 of the family's 1533-position model. The record is from RNAcentral.
UACGGAGGAUGCAAGCGUUAUCCGGAAUGAUUGGGCGUAAAGCGUCCGCAGGUGGCUAUGUAAGUCUGCUGUUAAAGAGUGAGGCUCAACCUCAUAAGAGCAGUGGAAACUACAUAGCUAGAGUGCGUUCGGGGCAGAGGGAAUUCCUGGUGUAGCGGUGAAAUGCGUAGAUAUCAAGAGGAACACCAGUGGCGAAGGCGAGUCCCUGGACAACACCUGACACUGAGGCACGAAAGCUAGGGGAGCAAACAGG